AUACGGAGGAUGCGAGCGUUAUCCGGAUUUAUUGGGUUUAAAGGGAGCGUAGGUGGGAUAUUAAGUCAGCUGUGAAAGUUUGGGGCUCAACCUUAAAAUUGCAGUUGAUACUGGUUUCCUUGAGUACAGUUGAGGUAGGCGGAAUGUGGUGUGUAGCGGUGAAAUGCAUAGAUAUACCACAGAACGCCGAUUGCGAAGGCAGCUUACUAAGCUGUUACUGACGCUGAGGCACGAAAGCGUGGGGAUCAAACAGGAUUAGAUACCCUGGUAGUCCACGCAGUAAACGAUGAUCACUAGCUGUUUGCGAUACACUGUAAGCGGCACAGCGAAAGCGUUAAGUGAUCCACCUGGGGAGUACGCCGGCAACGGUGAAACUCAAAGGAAUUGGCGGGG
This 393-nucleotide ribosomal RNA is filed under the name uncultured bacterium. RNAcentral's name for it is "partial 16S ribosomal RNA". It matches the Rfam family "Bacterial small subunit ribosomal RNA", at positions 523 to 918 of the family's 1533-position model. The record is from RNAcentral.